This 253-nucleotide ribosomal RNA is filed under the name uncultured bacterium. RNAcentral's name for it is "partial 16S ribosomal RNA". It matches the Rfam family "Bacterial small subunit ribosomal RNA", at positions 524 to 776 of the family's 1533-position model. The record is from RNAcentral.
CACAUAGGGCGCGAGCGUUGUCCGGAAUUAUUGGGCGUAAAGAGCUCGUAGGCGGCCUGUUGCGUCCGCUGUGAAAGCCCGGGGCUUAACCCCGGGUCUGCAGUGGAUACGGGCAGGCUAGAGGUAGGUAGGGGAGAAUGGAAUUCCCGGUGUAGCGGUGAAAUGCGCAGAUAUCGGGAGGAACACCGGUGGCGAAGGCGGUUCUCUGGGCCUUACCUGACGCUGAGGAGCGAAAGCGUGGGGAGCGAACAGG